ACGCGCCCUGACGGAGUCCCAGCAAGCGCGGGCCCGUCUUCCUCGCGUCUCCUCGGGGAGCGUCGUCGCCGCCACCCUGGGCGCUGAGAGCUUGCGGAGCCGAGCCGCUGUCGAGUCCCAGCGGAAAGAAGCCCAAGGUGCCGGAGAAGCCCGGUCGUGGACGUUGUUGCUCCCUCAUCUUCGAGACCCGCACGCCCUGCGGAGAGGAAAUGACAGGCACGCCGCGACCGUGGGGCGGGGCUCGCACGAGCUCCGGGUUUCCAGAGGCAGGGGCCGGGGCCGUAGAAGGCAGAGUCGCGCGGGGAAGGCCCGGUACCCCGCCCCUUCCGCACCGACCCCUCCCCCGCGGAGCUGGCCCCGGCCCCGGGCCUGUGGAGUGGACGCCGAGGGCGGCGGGCGGCUUCCGAGUUGGACAGAACGGGAGCUGCCGGCGGGAGCAGAGCUGCGAGGAGGUGGCCUUUGAGGGCAGCGCGGGGUCGAAAUCCCAUCCCAGCGCUGUGACCUCUUGGAGCCCACAUUGCCUCUUUGGUGGAGGGGAGGGAGUGGUCCAGCUCCGAGCCGAGCCUGGGAGCUGAAUGACCCAGUGUGCAAGGCGCACCUCGGAGACCGAAAGCAACCGCUCCCCCGGCUUCAAUUUCACACCACCUGCAGAUACACGUCUCAGAAUCUGCGGCUAGGAAGACCUGGGCCGCCAGAAGCUAAACGUGUGCAUUUUGUCAUCAGCCCCGGUUUCUCGUUUUAGAGUGAGUUCCCACCUGCCCUACCUAAACUGACCUGAAACGGAAAGUUGUAUGCCCCCACGACCAUCCUCACUGCAGAACUGCAGAGGGUUUUAAGCUCCUUAUUACCUGUUUCUUAUAAUCCUGUCCCUUUCCAGGCGAGUAUUUAUCGGAUAGUUCUACUUGUUUUAUCAAACUUCCUUUUCUUUUGACUUUAUAAAAAGCAAUGCCGGGAGGCUGAGGCGGGAGAAUCGCUUGAACCCGGGAGGCGGAGGUUGCAGUGAGCUGAGAUCUCGCCAUUGCACUCCAUUCUGGGCAACAAGAGCGAAACUCCGUCUCAAAAAAAAAAAACAAUGUUCGUCCUUAAAAUUAUGUGCAGAAGUUUACUGAAAAGUACAAGUUACUAUUUUUCCUUCUGAAGCACUCCUCACAGGUAACCCCUGUUAGUUUCACAGGUAACCUUAAAAUGCUUAACACAUAUUUGUUGAAUGAAUAAGUGCCCCCCAGUGAAUUUCCUUUGCCUGUACAAACAUAUAUGUACAUACCUUGCUUUUUCUAUUUAACAGUACACUUUUAUCAUUUAACAUCUGCGUGGUAUGGUACUCCAUCCGAUAACCAUCGGAUGUACUAUUAUUUAACCACUCCGCUAUUAAUAGACAUUCAUGCUGUUUAUAUUUUUUGGUUAUAAUAAACAUUGUUGCAGGCGGGAUCAUUGAACAACACAUGGAGUGUCUGACUCAAGCCUUGAGUUGUUUUUCCGGGAGCUGAGAAUCAGUGUGGUGAUAUCGAAAUAACAUGAGCUUGGAAUCUGAAGGUACUGGCUAGGGAGAAGAGCUGCUCAUGUGCUCCCGAUAGAAAGUCCCCCUUGGUCGGGAAGGUUAGGGCCAUCCUCUGACUCAGCAGUUUUAGGAAAUAGAGGGGGAGAAGGAAGGUAUGUACCUUCCUUCCACCAGGGAGGCACGCCCAGCCCUAACCAGCCAGCGAGGCAGUAGGUCCUCCUAGCUCAUCUUCACAACCUGGGCUGGUGUCGGGAAGACUUUCGUUCCAAUGCUAGCUUUGGAAUCCUGGCCUCCAUCCCUUAAAAGCUUUGUGAUCUUAGGUAAGUCACAUCACACUAUCUCAAAGCCCCCGUUUCCUCACAGAAUGGUUGUUUUAGAGUUAUGUUUGUAAAUUACCUGGCACAUGUAGGCAUGUGACAGACUGUAACCAAUGUUACUCAAGGUCAUUUUGCACUGAUUCAUACUUUGAGCCAUUUCCUACUGUAGACUCUAGCACACAUUUUCAAGGCAGCUUCCUGAUAAUAAGGCUGUAGGAUAUUUUUGGGAAAUAAAUCCAAAUUGGCCAUUAAAACCAGAUUCCUGACUUUGCCUGCAUGUGUCAUCUGGAAAGCAAUCGGCAUAAAUUCCUUCAUUUCUUUGGUAACUAUUUAAUGAGUGUUUAUGUGCCACGGAUUGCAGAGGUUAUAAGAAGAGAGCCUUAGGCCGGGCGCUGUGGCUCACACCCAUAAUCCCAGCACUUUGGGAGGCUGAGGCGGGAGGAUCACGAGGUCAGGAGUUCAAGACCAGCCUGGCCAAGAUGGUGAAACCCCAUCUCUACUAAAAAUAAAAAAAAUUAGCCGGGCACGAUGGCAGGCGCCGGUAAUCCCAGCUACUCGGGAGGCUAAGGCAGGAGAAUCGCUUGAACCCGGGUGGCAGAGGUUGCCGAGAUUGCACCACUGCACUCCAGCCUAGGCGACAGAGCAAGACUCCGUCUUAAAAAAAAAAAAAAAAAAAAAGGAACAGAGCCUUUUCUCACCAGUUCACAGCCUCAUCAAGAGUUAAGACAUACUCAUGAGGAAAUUGAAAGUAUAAGACAAUACAGUAGAUAGAAAAGCUGUCAGAUAUGCAGUCUAGACUUCAGAGGAGGAAAGCUAUAGCUUUUAGUUAGAAUGAUGGGGAGAAGAUUUUAUCAUAAAGAUGUCAUGAUGGCACUGGAAUAGGAGAGCUUUGAGUGUCUAUUUAGACAGUCCCUGUCACAGUCUAUGAGAAUCAUCAUUUGGCUUGGAGGGGAAUUCCCUGCAGGCCAGGGUAUGUGCCUGGCAUCUCAAAAUGAAUCAGCACAUUUUCUUCUGGAAACAUUGUUAGACAUUUAUUUAAACUACAGUUCAGUGAUGAGUUAUGUUAAGCUUUCUUUCUCCUUCUCACUGUAUACAUAUGUAAACUUGUGUGACCUAAAGGAUCAGUGUGUCCAGUAAUGGGAAACUUUGUUCCACUGCUCUGAACAGCUAACUUACAGAUGAACUUUUGCAACACCACCUGUUUGCACAUUAGAAACUAUUAAUACGAUGAGGAGGCAUUGAAAGUUUUUGAGCAAAGAGGCAAUCUCAAAAUAUUUUAGUGAAGUAAUCUGGCAGGGUGCAGGAUGGAUUUCAGCUGCAGAGCUUUAAAGGUUAUUGCUGAAGCCUGGGUGUAAGGUAACAGCAGGGACAGAUGCAAAAGACAAUAAGCAAACUUAUAAACUAGACAAAGCAGCUUCCAAAAAAAAAAAUCACGUAAUUUACCUGGUAACUGGAUUCAUCCUUAAUUCAGUAAAUAUUAAGUGGCCGGGUGCAGUGGCUCACGCCUGUAAUCCCAGCACUUUGGGAGGCCGAGGCGGGUGGAUCAUGAGGUCAGAAGAUCAAGACCAUCCUGGCUAACAUGGUGAAACCCCAUCUCUACUAAAAAUACAAAAGAAUUAGCUGGGUGUGGUGGCACACGCCCGUAGUCCCAGCUACUCGGGAGGCUGAGGCAGGAGAAUCACUUGAACCUGGGAGGUGGAGGUUGCAGUGAGCCAAGAUCGCAUCAUUGCACUCCAGCCUGGGUGACAGAGCGAGACUCCAUCUCAAAAAAAAAAAAAAAAAAAAAUUUGCACAGUUACUAGGUGUUAGGCACUGUAGUGGGCACAGAGGCUAGAACAUGAACAAAACAAAGCUCCUGUCCUCACGGAGUUUACAGUUUAGUGGGGAACAAGUCAUUCACUCAUUCAACAAAUACUUGAGGGCCUACUAUGCCAGACAUUGAUCUACGAGCUGAGGAUUCAGCAGUAAGUAAAAUUUUAAAAUCCCAGCUUUCAUAGAGCUUAUAUUCUGAUAGAGAAUACAGGCACCAAGUAUGUCCAAGGAGAAAAGUAAAGCAGGGAGCACGCUGAGGUUUGCAGAAGCAGGCAGUGGAGCCACAGAGGUGGCAGGAAGUUUGGCAGUGGAUGACAAGAGAAACAAUGCUUGGUGGUGAGAGCAGUGGGGCUCAUGAAGUAUUUUUCAGGAUAGUGGAAGCAGAGGAUUAGCAGCCAGGAAAUAAUAAGGAGUGAAUAUUUGGAGGGAAGAUGAGCUAAGGGCGCUUCAAAGAGCUUUGGGAAGUAAAGUGUCACCAACCAGAAGGCUAAGUGGGUAAAGGAGAGGGGGACCUCAGGCCCUCAAGGGUAGCAGUGUCAGGGAUGAAGAUCAGUGCAGUGGAGGUUGGAGGGACCUGUGAAAUCCAUUAUUUCAGACAGCAACAUGGACUUCAAAGCUGCUGAGUGCUAGGUAGCAAGGGAGGGAACGUGUGCUGUGAUCAUCCAGGAAGGAAGCAGUGGGUGGUGAAUCAGAACUCAGAGAAGGCAGGUAAACUGACCGACAGGGACUUUAAAUUAGGAGCAAGAUGGGGACCACUCAGCAUACUGGUCCAAGAGGGAAGGAAGAGAGGAUAUGAUAUGAUGCCUGGUGUCUCCCUCUGAUGGAAGUGGAAACGGGCCCUUUCUCCCACACCUGCAAGCCUGAUGCCACACCAAGAGACUUGGCAGUGGGCCUUGCCCUGCCCUGAUGUAGCCCCCAGAAAUCAAGUGAAUGUAAGUUCCAUGAUUCCAGGGACCAUCUCUUUAUCUGUAUCCUCUGGAGACCCAGUGCCUGGUAGGUGCUUGAUACCUGUUGAAUUAAAGUGAAGCCACACACACAGUGUGAGAGUUGGACAGAAUGUCAGAUACAAUUAGUUGAACCCUCUCUUGAGUUCACUUUUUGGGGUGUGGGCCAAACUUGGGGUCUAACUCAGGGUCAGCUUCUUCCCCUGACUCCAAACCGUUUAGCAGGAAUUUUCUCACUCAACCUUUAUAUUAUUAAAUCAGUGGUUUUGCAAGUGUAGUCUGAGGACCCGCAGGGCUCCCUAAGACCUUUUCAAAGGAUCUUCAGAGUCAAAACAUGUUCACAAUACUAAGAUGUGAUUUGCCUUUUUCACUUUCAUUUGCUUAUGACUGUACAGUGUUUGCCAGAGCCUACAUGACAUGUGAUACAACAGACCAAAUGCAGAGCUGACAUGCGAAUCCAGACAUUAGAAACCUAAAAAAAUGUGGAACAAUGCCACUUGAACAGUUUUGCUUUGUUGUUGUUGUUUGUUUUUGAGACUGAGUCUCUCUCUUGCCCAAGCUGGGAGUGCAGUGGUACGAUCAUGGCUCACUGCAGCCUUGACCUCCUGGACUGAAGUGAACCUCCCACCUCAGCUUCCUGAGUAGCUGGGACUGCAGGUGUACACACCACCACACCACUAUGCCUGGCUUUUUUUUUUUCUUUUGAGACAGAGUCUUGCUCUGUCACUCAGGUGGGAGCUGGAGUGCUGUGGCAUGAUCUCGGCUCACUGCAUCCUCCACCUCCUGGGUUCAAGUAAUUCUCCUGCCUCAGCCUCCCGAGUAGCUGGGAUUACAGGUAUAUGCCACCAUGCCCAGCUAAUAUUUAUGUUGUUUAAGUAGAGACGGGGUUUUGCCAUGUUGGUCAGGCUGGUCUCAAACUCCUGACCUCAGGUGAUCUACCCACCUCAGCCUCUGAAAGUGCUGGGAUUACAGGUGUGAGCCACUGCGUCUGGCUGCUAUUUUUUUUUUUUUUAAUUUUUAAAUUUUUUGUAGAGACAACAGUCUCACUAUGUUGCCCAAGCUGGUCUUGAACUCCUGGCCUCAAGCCAUCCUCCCACCUCAGCCUCCCAAAGUGUUGGGAUUACAGGCAUGAGCCACUGUGCCUAGCCUGGUUUUGACUCCUAAGAUGCUAAAUAUCAAUAGGUAAGAUAGGUAUACACAAGAGCUCUUUGGUGUCCUCAAAAAAAUUUCAAAAUAUAAAAGGAUCCCGGCUGGGCACAGUGACAAACACCUGUAAUCCCAGCACUUCGGAAGGCUGAGGAGGGAGGAUGGCUCAAGGCCAGGAGUUCAAGACCAGCCUGGGCAACAUAGUGAAACCCUCAUCUCUACAAAAAAAAUUUAAAAAAUUAGCCAGGCUGGGCACGAUGGCUCACACGUGUAAUCCCAGCACUUUGGGAGGCCAAGGUAGGUGGAUUACCUGAGGUCAGGGGUUCAAGACCAGCCUGACCGAUAUGGUGAAACCCCAUCUCUACUAAAAAUACAAAAAAAAAAAAAAAUUAGCUGGGCAUGGUGGCGGGCACCUGUAAUCUCAGCUACUCUGGAGGCUGAGGCACAAGAAUCACCUGAACCUGGGAGGCAGAGGCUGCGGUGAGCCAAGAUCACGCCACUGCACUCCAGCCUGGGCGACAGAGUGAGAUUCCAUCUCAAAAACAAACAAAAUUAGGCAGGUGUGGUGGUGUGUGGCUGUAGUCCUAGCUGCUCAGGAGGCUGAGGCAGGAGGAUCACUUGAGCUCAAGAGUUCAAGGCUGCAGUGAGCCAUGAGCACACCAUUGCACUCCAGCCUGGGCGGCAGAGCAGUACCCUGCAUGUAAAUAAAUAAGGAGUCUUGAGGGCAAAAUAUUUGCGAAAUGCUAGAUUGAAUCCUGCACCCCAGCUUCCUAGCUCCCUUUUUUGUGGGAACCCAAGUGGUAAGAAAGAUCUAAUGUAAAUACAUUCAAAACCCACAGCUUUCUCUUGUGGGACUGCGGGGCACAGCCCUGAGGAAUUAUCAUGCACUAAUUGUCCCUGUGACCAGGCCGCCAUCUCACUAGAGA
RNAcentral lists this long non-coding RNA (6643 nucleotides) under Homo sapiens (human). RNAcentral's name for it is "non-protein coding lnc-BICDL1-1:6". The record is from RNAcentral. Lineage: Eukaryota; Metazoa; Chordata; Mammalia; Primates; Hominidae.